UCUGUUGGGGGCGGGCAGAGGCGUCGGCGCUGCCCCGGCGAGGGGCCGAGCCGGCGGGGCGCGCAGAAGCCGGCCCGAGCCCGGGCCCGAGCGCGGCUCCGCUCGGCUCCUCUGCGGCUCCCGCCGGGCCCUUCAGCCCCGGCCGGCCCCGGCGCGGCAGGGCACGAUGGCGCCCGGGCUGGGGCCGUGGCUCCUGGCCUUGUCCUUGGCCGCGGGGCCGGCAGGGCUGUGGGCGCAGCUGAGGCUGGUGGAGGACGGCGGAGGGCUGCGAGCGCCCGGGGACACCGUGCGCCUCUCCUGCCGCGGAUCCGGCUUCAACUUCGGGAAUUCCACAGUUUGGUGGUACCGUCAGGCAGUCGGCGGCAGUCUCGAGUGGGUGUCGUACAAGAGCUCUGAUUCCUCAGUCAUUGAAGUCGGGCAGUCUGUGGAUGGUCGAGCUACUGUAUUCUGGGACAAUUCCUGGUCUGAGUUAUAUCUGUCCCUGCAGCCCGUUCAGCCCCGGGACUCUGCCCGCUACUUCUGUGCUGUUGCACGGGGACAGGAAAUCCAGCUGAGCUUUAACACAAACCUGCUGGGCCACAAUGUCAGAGCUGUGGGGCAAGGGGCUGCUUGGGGUGGGGGCCUCAGGGUGGUUCCCAGGCAGUGAAGUUCCAUCACUCUACACCGCAGGAGUUCCUGGCCUUUCCUGCACACUGCGGGAAUUGUAACUUAUGGUAAAUUAAAACAGAGUAGGAUUGUGAUCAACAAAAAAACUGGAAACACCUUCCCCUACACCUCCCACUUUCCUCCCUUGCUCAGCUUCAUACCUUCAUUCCCAAUUCCUCUACCUCCUCUGCCCAAGUGGCCCAUGGGUGAUGGGGUUUGAGGUGAAAUCAUAACACUUCAUCUCUACUGCUCCUUCCUCC
Non-coding RNA from Harpia harpyja (harpy eagle), 905 nucleotides. The record is from the annotation of a RefSeq genome assembly. NCBI's taxonomy places the organism in Eukaryota, Metazoa, Chordata, Aves, Accipitriformes, Accipitridae.